UCUAAUAUGGCAGAUAAGUGCAAUGGAUUUAAGCUCUAUUUAUAAAGAUUCAUACAACUCUUUUAUUAGAA
RNAcentral lists this transfer RNA (71 nucleotides) under Ergaula nepalensis. Its description in RNAcentral is "tRNA-Leu". The record is from RNAcentral. Lineage: Eukaryota; Metazoa; Arthropoda; Insecta; Blattodea; Corydiidae.